Molecule: ribosomal RNA, 254 nt
Filed under: uncultured bacterium
Lineage: Bacteria
Description: partial 16S ribosomal RNA
Rfam family: Bacterial small subunit ribosomal RNA
Source: RNAcentral
UACGUAGGGUCCAAGCGUUGUCCGGAUUUAUUGGGCGUAAAGAGCUCGUAGGCGGUUCCGUAAGUCGGAUGUGAAAACUCCGGGCCCAACUCGGAGACGCCACUCGAUACUGCUAUGACUCGAGUCCGGUAGGGGAGUGCGGAAUUCCUGGUGUAGCGGUGAAAUGCGCAGAUAUCAGGAGGAACACCGGUGGCGAAGGCGGCACUCUGGGCCGGAACUGACGCUGAGGAGCGAAAGCGUGGGGAGCGAACAGG